UACGGAGGGUGCAAACGUUGCUCGGAAUCAUUGGGCGUAAAGCGUGCGUAGGCGGUCUGGUAAGUCGGAUGUGAAAGCCCUCGGCUUAACCGAGGAAGUGCAUUCGAAACUGCCAAGCUAGAGUACCAGAGAGGGUGACGGAAUUCCCGGUGUAGAGGUGAAAUUCGUAGAUAUCGGGAGGAACACCUGUGGCGAAGGCGGUCACCUGGAGGGAUACUGACGCUGAGGCACGAAAGCGUGGGGAGCAAACAGG
RNAcentral lists this ribosomal RNA (253 nucleotides) under uncultured bacterium. RNAcentral's name for it is "partial 16S ribosomal RNA". It matches the Rfam family "Bacterial small subunit ribosomal RNA", at positions 524 to 776 of the family's 1533-position model. The record is from RNAcentral.